CUCAAACAACUCUGUAGGGAAAAAAAUCUAACAAUUCUAUUUAAAAAUGGGCAAAAGAUUUGAAUGGACAUUGCUCAAAAGUAGACAUUCAGAUGGCAAACAGACAAAUGAAAAGGUGCUCAACACCACUGAUCAUCAGAGAAAUGGAAACCAAAGUUAAAAUGAGAUACCAUCUCCCCCCAGUUAAAAUGGCUUUCAUCUAAGAGACAGUCAAUAACAAAAGGUGGCAGGAAUGUGGAGAACAGAGAACCUUCAUACACUAUAGUUGGAAAUGUAAAUUAGUACAACCACUAUGGAGAACAGUUUGGAGGUUUCUCAAAAAACUAAAAAUGGAGUUACUAUAUAAUCUGGCAAUCCCCAUGCUAGGUAUAUGCCCAAAAGAAAGGAAAUCAUUCUCUCAAAGAGAUAUCUUCACUCCCAUGUUUAUUGCAACACUGUUCACAAUAGCAAAGAUUGUCCAUCAACAGAUGAAUGGUUAAAGAAAAUAUGAUACAUAUACACAAUGGAGUACUAUCCAGCCAUCAAAAAGUAUGAGAACCUAUCAUUUGCAGCAACACGGAUAGAACUGGAGGUCAUUAUGUUAAGUGAAAUAAUUUAUAUACCUGACAUUUACUGGGUUCAUGCCAUGUGUAAGCUAUUGAACUCUGCAUAGGGAUAUAGCAGAGAAUAAAAUAAGUAUAAAUUAUACUAGAAAUUACAUUCUACUAGAGGAGAGGAGAGAAACAAGAAAAACUGACAAUACCAAUUUUAUUAGAUGUUAAGAAUGUUAUAAACAAGUGUCAGCAGAGAAGAAAAACAUGUUCUAAGGAGUGCAAUUUUGCAUAGAGAGAUCAGGGAAGGUGUCUUAGUCUGUCUGAGCUAUCAUAACCCAUAAACUGUGUGGGUUACAAACAACAGAAAUUUAGUUUUCACUGUUCUAGAGGCUGGAAAUUCCAAGAUCCAAGUGCCAACAGAUUCACUGUCUGGUGAGGAACUGGCUUUCUGGUCGUAGUUAGUGCCUUCUCACUGCCACAUAGUGGCAUAGUCACUGUCCCCACAUGGUGGAAGGAACAAAGUAGCUCUCUGGGAUGUCUUUUAUAAGGGCACUAAUCUCAUUUAUGAGGGCUCCACCCUCAUGAUCUAAUCACCUCUUAAAAUUCCCACCUUCUAACACCACCACUUUCGGGGAUUAGAUUUAAGCACAGGCAUUUUGGGGGACACAGACAUUCAGACCAUAGCAGAAGGUUUUGCUUAUAGGGUGCAUGUGAGCAGAACCCUGAAGGAGGAAGGAGAGGGAACCAUUCAGAUAUCUCAGGGAAGAAUAUUGUAGGCAAAGAGAGCAGCAUGUGCAACAUUCUGACACAGGAGCAUAUGGAGGUAGUUA
RNAcentral lists this long non-coding RNA (1363 nucleotides) under Callithrix jacchus (white-tufted-ear marmoset). RNAcentral describes it as "lncRNA (ENSCJAG00000081751.1)". The record is from RNAcentral. Lineage: Eukaryota; Metazoa; Chordata; Mammalia; Primates; Cebidae.